Molecule: ribosomal RNA, 433 nt
Filed under: uncultured bacterium
Lineage: Bacteria
Description: partial 16S ribosomal RNA
Rfam family: Bacterial small subunit ribosomal RNA
Source: RNAcentral
AACGAACGCUGGCGGCAUGCCUAACACAUGCAAGUCGAACGAGCCCUUCGGGUCUAGUGGCGCACGGGUGCGUAACGCGUGGGAACCUGCCCUUAGGUUCGGAAUAACUCCCCGAAAGGGGUGCUAAUACCGGAUAAUGUCUUCGGACCAAAGAUUUAUCGCCUUUGGAUGGGCCCGCGUUGGAUUAGCUAGUUGGUAGGGUAAAAGCCUACCAAGGCGACGAUCCAUAGCUGGUCUGAGAGGAUGAUCAGCCACACUGGGACUGAGACACGGCCCAGACUCCUACGGGAGGCAGCAGUGGGGAAUAGUGGACAAUGGGCGAAAGCCUGAUCCAGCAAUGCCGCGUGAGUGAUGAAGGCAUUAGGGUUGUAAAGCUCUUUUACCCGGGAUGAUAAUGACAGUACCGGGAGAAUAAGCUCCGGCUAACUCCGUG